Molecule: long non-coding RNA, 422 nt
Organism: Nerophis ophidion (straightnose pipefish)
Lineage: Eukaryota; Metazoa; Chordata; Actinopteri; Syngnathiformes; Syngnathidae
Exons: 3
Source: RefSeq, a predicted model, not a curated record
AUAAAAAAAGCAGUUAACAUUAUAUGACAUACUGUAGUUAACAUCACAGUUCGGCCCACUGGAUAUUUUCAAACUAUAGAAAUGAUUCCAAUGGUUAAAAUCUGCACUUUUGUGUGAAUUACGAAGAUCUGCUUCAUGAAGACGAGGCACGAACCGAGUGGGGCAGAGUGCACUCUGCAUGCAGUUGACGGAGCAGCAAGUGAAGUCGUCACUGGAGACAUUCAGUCACACACUUCGGAAAAGGAGACCUUCUUCUCAUUGCCUGUGAAAAAUACAUGACAGGCAGGAGGUUUGCAGAUCAGUGAGAAACAACUGCUUGCCCACUCUCUGACCAAGAACCUCAGUGUUCAAAGACCAAGAAAGACUAAAAAAGUCUGAGGACCCAUCCAUCCUUUUUCUACCGCUUAUUCCCUUUCGGGGUC